Molecule: ribosomal RNA, 144 nt
Filed under: uncultured eukaryote
Lineage: Eukaryota
Description: partial small subunit ribosomal RNA
Rfam family: Eukaryotic small subunit ribosomal RNA
Source: RNAcentral
AGUUGGUGGAGUGAUUUGUCUGCUUAAUUGCGUCAACGAACGAGACCUUAUCCUGCUAAAUAGGAGUAAGAAAUUCGUUUCUUAUAUCACUUCUUAGAGGGACUUUGUGUGUCUAACACAAGGAAGUUUGAGGCAAUAACAGGU